AUUGAACGCUGGCGGCAGGCCUAACACAUGCAAGUCGAGCGGAUGAAGGGAGCUUGCUCCUGGAUUCAGCGGCGGACGGGUGAGUAAUGCCUAGGAAUCUGCCUGGUAGUGGGGGAUAACGUCCGGAAACGGGCGCUAAUACCGCAUACGUCCUGAGGGAGAAAGUGGGGGAUCUUCGGACCUCACGCUAUCAGAUGAGCCUAGGUCGGAUUAGCUAGUUGGUGGGGGAAAGGCCUACCAAGGCGACGAUCCGUAACUGGUCUGAGAGGAUGAUCAGUCACACUGGAACUGAGACACGGUCCAGACUCCUACGGGAGGCAGCAGUGGGGAAUAUUGGACAAUGGGCGAAAGCCUGAUCCAGCCAUGCCGCGUGUGUGAAGAAGGUCUUCGGAUUGUAAAGCACUUUAAGUUGGGAGGAAGGGCAGUAAGUUAAUACCUUGCUGUUUUGACGUUGCCAACAGAAUAAGCACCGGCUAACUUCGUGCCAGCAGCCGCAGUAAGAC
This 503-nucleotide ribosomal RNA is filed under the name uncultured bacterium. RNAcentral's name for it is "bacterial SSU rRNA". It matches the Rfam family "Bacterial small subunit ribosomal RNA", at positions 30 to 526 of the family's 1533-position model. The record is from RNAcentral.